Molecule: ribosomal RNA, 765 nt
Filed under: uncultured Streptococcus sp.
Lineage: Bacteria; Bacillati; Bacillota; Bacilli; Lactobacillales; Streptococcaceae
Description: bacterial SSU rRNA
Rfam family: Bacterial small subunit ribosomal RNA
Source: RNAcentral
GAUGAACGCUGGCGGCGUGCCUAAUACAUGCAAGUAGAACGCUGAAGCUUGGUGCUUGCACCGAGCGGAUGAGUCGCGAACGGGUGAGUAACGCGUAGGUAACCUGCCUCUUAGCGGGGGAUAACUAUUGGAAACGAUAGCUAAUACCGCAUAAAAGUCGAUAUCGCAUGAUAUUGAUUUGAAAGGUGCAAUUGCAUCACUAAGAGAUGGACCUGCGUUGUAUUAGCUAGUUGGUGAGGUAACGGCUCACCAAGGCGACGAUACAUAGCCGACCUGAGAGGGUGAUCGGCCACACUGGGACUGAGACACGGCCCAGACUCCUACGGGAGGCAGCAGUAGGGAAUCUUCGGCAAUGGGGGCAACCCUGACCGAGCAACGCCGCGUGAGUGAAGAAGGUUUUCGGAUCGUAAAGCUCUGUUGUAAGAGAAGAACGAGUGUGAGAGUGGAAAGUUCACACUGUGACGGUAACUUACCAGAAAGGGACGGCUAACUACGUGCCAGCAGCCGCGGUAAUACGUAGGUCCCGAGCGUUAUCCGGAUUUAUUGGGCGUAAAGCGAGCGCAGGCGGUUAGAUAAGUCUGAAGUUAAAGGCUGUGGCUUAACCAUAGUACGCUUUGGAAACUGUUUAACUUGAGUGCAGAAGGGGAGAGUGGAAUUCCAUGUGUAGCGGUGAAAUGCGUAGAUAUAUGGAGGAACACCGGUGGCGAAAGCGGCUCUCUGGUCUGUAACUGACGCUGAGGCUCGAAAGCGUGGGGAGCAAACAGG